UUGAAAUCGUGUUUCGGCACGAGUUGUAGAUUGCAGGUUGGAGUCUUUGUGGAAGCGUGUGUCUAAGUCCCUUGGAACAGGGUGCCAUUGAGGGUGAGAGCCCCGUGAGACGCGUGCGGAAGCUGUAAGGCCCUUCUGACGAGUCGAGUUGUUUGGGAAUGCAGCUCUAAGUGGGUGGUAAAUUCCAUCUAAGGCUAAAUAUUGGCGAGAGACCGAUAGCGAACAAGUACUGUGAAGGAAAGAUGAAAAGCACUUUGAAAAGAGAGUGAAACAGCACGUGAAAUUGUUGAAAGGGAAGGGUAUUGGGCUCGACAUGGGAUUUGCGCACCGCUGCUCCUUGUGGGCGGCGCUCUGUGCUUUUCCUGGGCCAGCAUCGGUUUUUGCCGCAGGAGAAGGCGUGCUGGAAUGUGGCUCUUCGGAGUGUUAUAGCCAGUGCGAGAUGCUGCGUGCGGGGACCGAGGACUGCGACAUCUGUCUCGGAUGCUGGCACAACGGCGCAAUACCGCCCGUCUU
RNAcentral lists this ribosomal RNA (513 nucleotides) under Pichia occidentalis. Its description in RNAcentral is "partial large subunit ribosomal RNA". It matches the Rfam family "Eukaryotic large subunit ribosomal RNA", at positions 115 to 655 of the family's 3401-position model. The record is from RNAcentral. Lineage: Eukaryota; Fungi; Ascomycota; Pichiomycetes; Pichiales; Pichiaceae.